ACCCUCUAAGCAUCUCCAUAUGUAAGGUAGCUGCUUCAACUUACACCAGAGCUGAAAUGCAGUCUACAUUCUUUCUUUUUUCAGGUUGGGAUGAAUACCAUUCAGGAACAAAAGAACAAGUGAAUAAAGUAUCCUAAGCAAUUUUUGCAAAGAAUACACAUUUUUAAGUUGUUCUGGAGAUGAUAAAGAUUGGACCUUAGCACCAGCAACCUCCAGCAGACUGCAAUGGCUCUGCCUUUAAUACACUUCCACCCCUGUGUGUUAUACAGCCAUAAUACUGAACACAUGAGGCAGACAGCUGCCCUGAGGCAUUCUCUGUAAAAACUUUCAUAUCACAACGGAACUGAACGCACCAUUAUAACACCACGUCUCCUCUUCUUCACGCUGCUGCUUCCGCAUAACUGAGACCUGUUUAGUGCAAAUGAAAGCAGUUUUCUGGAUGAAGCAACCUUUUCCUUUUCCUCAGAGUCUUGGGCUCCACAUCCACUCCCUGCCAGGACAGGUGCGUCCCACACAGCUUCCU
Molecule: long non-coding RNA, 523 nt
Filed under: Anas platyrhynchos platyrhynchos (common mallard)
Lineage: Eukaryota; Metazoa; Chordata; Aves; Anseriformes; Anatidae
Description: lncRNA (ENSAPLG00000024070.1)
Source: RNAcentral